UAGGGAAUAUUGGACAAUGGGGGCAACCCUGAUCCAGCCAUGCCGCGUGAGUGAAGAAGGCCCUCGGGUUGUAAAGCUCUUUUGUCCGGAAAGAAAAGCAUUCGGUGAAUACCCGGAUGUUCUGACGGUACCGGAAGAAUAAGCACCGGCUAACUUCGUGCCAGCAGCCGCGGUAAUACGAAGGGUGCAAGCGUUACUCGGAAUUACUGGGCGUAAAGCGUGCGUAGGUGGUUGUUUAAGUCUUAUGUGAAAGCCCUGGGCUCAACCUGGGAAUGGCAUUGGAAACUGGGCAGCUAGAGUGCGGUAGAGGGUAGUGGAAUUCCCGGUGUAGCAGUGAAAUGCGUAGAGAUCGGGAGGAACAUCUGUGGCGAAGGCGACUGCCUGGACCAGCACUGACACUGAGGCACGAAAGCGUGGGGAGCAAAC
This 426-nucleotide ribosomal RNA is filed under the name uncultured bacterium. RNAcentral's name for it is "bacterial SSU rRNA". It matches the Rfam family "Bacterial small subunit ribosomal RNA", at positions 355 to 773 of the family's 1533-position model. The record is from RNAcentral.